Erinaceus europaeus (western European hedgehog) is the source of this 326-nucleotide unclassified non-coding RNA. Its record names the gene 7SK. It matches the Rfam family "7SK RNA". Rfam says of the family: 7SK was discovered as an abundant small nuclear RNA in the mid-70s but a possible function has only recently been suggested. Two independent studies have found that 7SK RNA binds the CDK9/cyclin T complex (known as elongation factor P-TEFb). Lineage: Eukaryota; Metazoa; Chordata; Mammalia; Eulipotyphla; Erinaceidae. The record is from Ensembl.
GGAUGUGAGGGCGCUCUGGCUGUGACAUCUGUCACCCCAUUGAUCGCCAGGGUUGAUUCGGCUGAUCUGGCUGGCUAGGCGGGUGUCCCCUUCCUCCCUCACCGCUCCAUGUGUGUCCCUCCCAAAGCUGCGCGCUCAGUCAAAGAGGACUGCCUUCCCCGAAUAGAGACAGACCGGUCUUCAGUUAAGGGUAUAUGAGUAGCUGCAUUCCCCUGCUAGAACCUCCAAACAAGCUCUUAAGAAAGUAAAAACAGCUUGCACAAUUCUGGGAGGGCAGCUGGCAGAAUCAACAUUUAAUAUUUCCCUUUUCUCCAUGGAAGAAUGAG